This 432-nucleotide ribosomal RNA is filed under the name uncultured bacterium. Its description in RNAcentral is "partial 16S ribosomal RNA". It matches the Rfam family "Bacterial small subunit ribosomal RNA", at positions 29 to 507 of the family's 1533-position model. The record is from RNAcentral.
ACGCACGCUGGCGGCAUGCCUAACGCAUGCCAGUCGAACGAGACCUUCGGGUCUAGUGGCGCACGGGUGCGUAACGCGUGGGAACCUGCCCUUAGGUUCGGAAUAACUCCCCGAAAGGGGUGCUAAUACCGGAUAAUGUCUUCGGACCAAAGAUUUAUCGCCUUUGGAUGGGCCCGCGUUGGAUUAGCUAGUUGGUAGGGUAAAAGCCUACCAAGGCGACGAUCCAUAGCUGGUCUGAGAGGAUGAUCAGCCACACUGGGACUGAGACACGGCCCAGACUCCUACGGGAGGCAGCAGUGGGGAAUAUUGGACAAUGGGCGAAAGCCUGAUCCAGCAAUGCCGCGUGAGUGAUGAAGGCCUUAGGGUUGUAAAGCUCUUUUACCCGGGAUGAUAAUGACAGUACCGGGAGAAUAAGCUCCGGCUAACUCCGUG